Molecule: long non-coding RNA, 296 nt
Organism: Sinocyclocheilus rhinocerous
Lineage: Eukaryota; Metazoa; Chordata; Actinopteri; Cypriniformes; Cyprinidae
Exons: 2
Source: RefSeq, a predicted model, not a curated record
UCUAUGCAGUAACGGUAACGGGUCGGUUACCUCCAGGUGUGGUGCGGGAGCUGAAGAGCAGAGGCGUCAUCUACAGAUCCAGAGACACGGCUGUUAAAACAUGAAAACAUCACUUUAUGGAUCGCAUGUUUGUAAAGCGACACACAUAACCAGCUGUUUAGUGACUGCGGUUCUGUUAGUGUCCAUUUCAUUUAAUGUCUUAUGAUUUUCUUUUUUUAUUUACACUUUUUGGGUAUUUGGAUCGAUAAUGGUUUGAUUAUGAAUAAAUGAUUGAUUUGAUUAUUCCAUGUAAAUGA